AAGAGUGUAGGGUUUACAGGACCCUCCCCAUUCACUCAGUACCCUAGCCCUGGAAGCAACACCUAAGAUAACUUGCUUUUCCUAGAACAUGCAGCUUCUCAGCACAUGGCUUUCAGUCCUUGUUCUCUCUAUAUCUCAUUUCAAGGGGACAGUACUCUUUGCAGAAAUCUUAGAGAACCACUAGUAUCUGUGUGAAAAGUUAUUGGCUUGGUCUUUGGCCCUAGGAUCAGUUUUGGUAGUUGUAAUAACAUCCUCCCUAUUCAAAAUCCCAAUUCUUCACGAUGGAAUUUUAAACCUUGGUGAUUCAAGGUAGAAAACCGAAACAGAAAAUCUAAACUGUCCUGACAUCUGCCAGGCCCACUAGAACUGUCACUCUCUGCCCUACUUCUGGAACUUUGAGGAUCAAGACUGCUCUGUCUCUCACUCCCUCUUGCUCUAGAAACAUCUGUUCCCUUUGGGUGUCAAUCUACACUGUUGAACUGGUCUCCAUGCUGGUCUGGAAAAGCAGUUGGAAGUAACUACUCUGGGUUAUGUGCUCUGGAAAUUUUUGAAUAGCAAAAGAUCCCCCCCACCCCUGCACAACACCCACUUUCUGUAUUUUUUUUAAAUUUUUUUUUAAUUUUUGAACUCAAAAUCAAGUGGCAAAAGUGUCUGUUGGAGUGGACUUAUAAGUAGGUCUGGCUCGUAGGAAGAGCCAGGAAGGUCUGUGGAUGGUUUCUUGUCCUGGUGUUAACACUCACCAAAGAAACUGACAAUCAGACUAUUUGGAAGGAAGAGUUUUAUUCCUACAGUUUGUUGGCCUUUCUGUAAGUUCUGGCAAGGCUCUGUGUCGUCUGCAGGAGGCGCCCACUGCUGGCCAGGGAGGGCGCACUGAGGGCGCUGAGAUGCCCAGGAUGGCUCGCCCCACCCACAGUUUUCUUUCUAGCAGUGAGCUCUGCCAAAGCAUCACGCCUCCGGUUUGCAGCAUGCAGAUUCCUUCACCUCACCUCUCACAGCAUCCAGGAGCUAAUAAGAGAAGUUUGAGUUUGUGCAGGAGGAUGGGGACUUAGAAACUUCUAAGGAUGUGUGAGUGUGGGGCACGUAGAGGAGGCAGAAAGCAAAAAAAAAAAAAAAAA
This 1115-nucleotide long non-coding RNA is filed under the name Rattus norvegicus (Norway rat). Its description in RNAcentral is "long non-coding RNA NONRATT014985". The record is from RNAcentral. Lineage: Eukaryota; Metazoa; Chordata; Mammalia; Rodentia; Muridae.